This 3316-nucleotide long non-coding RNA is filed under the name Macaca mulatta (Rhesus monkey). RNAcentral describes it as "lncRNA (ENSMMUG00000058977.1)". The record is from RNAcentral. Lineage: Eukaryota; Metazoa; Chordata; Mammalia; Primates; Cercopithecidae.
GGCCAAUCAGUGCGUCGGGCUCCGAACACAAGGCCCUCUCUCGGCGGCCUCAGGGUCCGGCUUUCUUCCAGGCUGCCUUCAGCAGUGCCUGACAAACUGCCUAAGGAAACGUUGCCACGCAGACAUUCGUUUCCCCCAGGCUUGCCUUUGCGCUCGUUCUCUCUCUCGUUUCUCACUGUUGCUGGUUAAUCGCUUCAGGAGCUAAGGGGGGAAAUGGCGAUGGGGAUGAGAGUGGAGAUAAACAGAAAGCUAUGUGCUGGCAAACUGGCCUCUACAGUUCAAGGUUGGAGAACCCCAGCCAAUGCCCCGAGGGCGGGACAGAACCCAGGCGCCAAGCAGUAUCCUCAGGCUGCUAAUUUGCUGGACACACAGAGUCCUGUUCUGCAACCUCCCCCUAGGUUGUGGGUGAGUGGAACCCAUUAACAUUUAAAAAUAUUUGCAGAAAUCAGAGGGGGGAAAAGGUAUUUCUGGAGGGCCAGUACUCAGUGCACUUUCAUGCGUGCCAAAGUUUGCUGGCAUGUCUCAGGCUUUGAUAGAGAACAUCUGGGCAACUGCUGCUGCAGCAUGUAGAUGGGGCGGAGGGCAGGGAACAAAGGGGGCCUGUGAGAGAAUGUUCGAGUGGGGGAAAUGCUCUCCGUGAAGGAGGCCUUACUUAAUGUCUAUUCCAUGCUCAGCUGUGGGAGGGGAAUAAGGAGAGGAAUGGAAGGUUUUGCCCUCACGUGGCCUCGAUAAUGAACACUGGAGACUGAGUGGCAGCAUAGAACUGGCUGGUUGGGUUGCAGAGACCCUUAUUUCCACCACUAGACAGACAUGCAUCUCAGGGUGAAGAUGCAGGCAACAGCAGUCACCACCACCAGUGGCAUCCUAAUGCUACUGCUUCUCCUAGAGCCUGUUUGUUGGAAGCCAAGGGAACAGAAGAUGGAUUGGGGAGGACAGGGGAUUCUAUUUUCAGUCGACAUAGAUUUGACAUUGUUUCCCCUAUUGCCAAUUCCAUUCAUAUGAACAAGAUGACAUGUUUUGAAUAGGUAUACUUCAAACACAAAAGUGCUCUUAUUAACUGAAGCUUAAGGUCAGACUGUUGGAAAUUUGUCAUUUAUGAGUAGGAUUUUGUAUCAGAUUCUGAUUUAUGUAUGCCUUACCUUACUCAGUAUCCAUGUAUAUGUAAGAAAAAUCCAUCUUUAGAUAUUUUUCAAAUCAUACCAAUGCUGAUACAUGAUAGGAACCACUGUAGUUCUUUAUAAGAAUGAAUUAACUAGUACUCCCUUUACUCAGAUAAUGAUUGUGGCUAUAAGCUAGCCUAUGUGUUCUCAUAAACAUGAUGUAUAUAUUUCAUUUAUAGUAUCUUUCCUUACUUCUUCCCUUUCCUCCCAGCUCAUUGCUUACCUUGUGACUGAGCUCUGAAAAACUAGCUCCACAUUUUUAAUGCUGCCGAGAGCUCCCUUCUCUGUGGAUUCAUCUAAGACAACAGAUAUUAACACUUGAAACUGAUACACGAUUGUGAUGGCAGUGGAGUCAGUACCAACUGACCCAAGUAUUCCUAGCCUGUGGAAUCUUUAGACUCACUUAAUUCAUUCAACAAAUACUUAAGCGCCUACUGUGUCAUGAACUUCAGGGACAUGAAAUUCUGCAAGAUAGUCUUUGCUUUUCAGUACCAGGAGCCCCAGAUAUUAUACUUAAUAUUUCAAAUAGUGGAUUCUGGGUUGUUUGAAAAUCAGUAGACAGCCUUUUUGUCAUUAAAUUUCCUUUAUUGCUCUGAUGCAUUUUAUUUUAUAGUGACUCUGACUACUUCAGAUUGUUCAUAAUAUUUUAAAACUUAUGUUAUUAAGAUUGUUGAUUCUGCUGUUCAAAACUGUUAGUAAAAUGAUAAGGUUUCCUUAUGGCUUUGAAUUUUAGGUGCUUUGGUAUCCAUGAUACAUAUAUAGUCAUGCGUCACGCAAUGACAUUUCAGUCAAAUACAGACCACAUGUAUGAUAGUGCUCUCAUGAGAUUAUAAUACCAUAUUUUUGUGGUCCUUUUUCUAUGUUUAGAUAUAUUUAGAUAUACAAAUAAUUACCAUUGCAUUACACUUGCCUACAGUAUUCAAUAAGUCACAUGUUGUACAGGUUUAUAGCCUAAAAGCAAUAGGCUAUAGGUGUGUAGUAGGCUAUACCACUAUGUUUAAGUCCACUCUAUGAUGUUCACAAAACAACAAAGCCAUCUAAUGACAUAUUUCUCAGAAUGUAUCCCCAUUGUUAAGCAACUCCUGAUUGUGUGGGUGUGUAUAUAUAUGUGUGCGUGUGUAUAUGUGGUCCAAAAUCAAUUUUAUAAUUAAUAUUGGUCCUAAGUUCAGAAUUUAUUUCAACUGUUUAUGUUAAGAAUUACAUUUUGCUAGAUCAUAUGAUAGUUUUAUUUUUACUUUUUAAUUUUACUUUUUCAUAAUGGCUAUACUAAGUUACAUUCCUGCCAACUGUGUGUAAUAGUUCUCCUUUCUCUGCAUCCUCACCAGUGUUUGUUCUUUUUGUCUUUUUGAUAAUAGCCAUUCUAACUGGGGUGAGUUGAUAUUUCCCAAUGGUUUUGAUAUGCAUUUCCCUGAUGAUUAGUGAUGCUGAACAUUUUUUCAUAUACCUGUUGGCCAUUUGUAUGUCUUCUGAUCCAGUAAUCCCACUACCGGGUAUAUAUCCAAAGGAAAAUAAAUCUGAAUGUUUAAUAAAGAUCUGCUAUCCCAUAUUUAUUGCAGCACUAUUCACAAUAGCCAAAAUAUGAAAUGAACUUAUGUGUCCAUCAGUAGAUAAAUGGAUAAAGAAAAUGUGGCAUAUGCACAAUGGAAUCCUAUUUAGCCAUAAAAAUGAACAAAAUUGUGCCAUUUGCAGCAACAUGAAUGAGCUUGGAGGACAUAAUGUUAAGUGAAGUAAGCCAGGCAUGGAAAGAUAAAUACUGUACAUUCUCACUUAUAUGUAGAGGCUAAAAAAGUUGAUCUCAAGAAGUAUGGAGUAGAAUAGUCAUUACUUAGAGGUGGAGAAGGGUAAGGGGGUGGGGAGAUAAAGGUUGGUUAACAUACAAAUACUAGAUAGGAGAAAUAUAGUUCACAGCACUAUAGGGUGACAUAACAACAAUUUAUUCUGUAUUUUCAAGUAGUAGGAGAGAAGAUUUUGGAUGUUCCCAACACAAAUGAUACAUAUUUGAGAUGAUGGAUAAGCUAAUUACCUCAAUUUGGUCAUUAUACAUUGUAUACAUAUUUUGAAGUAUCACACUGUACCCCAUAAAUGUAUACAAUUAUCUGUCAAUUAAAAUAAUAAUAAUUUUUUAAAAGAAAAAAAUUACAUUUUCCCACUAGUAC